Molecule: long non-coding RNA, 387 nt
Filed under: Rattus norvegicus (Norway rat)
Lineage: Eukaryota; Metazoa; Chordata; Mammalia; Rodentia; Muridae
Description: long non-coding RNA NONRATT014221
Source: RNAcentral
GAUGUGAUCUCCUCAGCAUCCACUGCCCUGUCCCAGGACAUCCCUGAAAUUGCAUCUGAGGCCCUGUCCCGUGGCUUUGGCUCCUCUGUACCUGAGGGCCUCAUUGAGCCAGACAGCAUGGCCUCAGCUGCCUCAGCACUACACCUACUGUCUCCUCGGCCCAGGCAAGGCCCUGAGCUUAGUUCUCAGCUUGGUCUAGAUGGAGGCCCUGGGGAUGGGGAUAGGCAUAGUACCCCUUCCCUACUGGAAGCAGCCUUGACCCAGGAAGUUGCAACCUCUGACAGUCAAGUCUGGCCUACAGCACCUGACAUUACUCGUGAGACCUGUAGCACACUAACAGAAAGGUAAGAAGAUUAGAAGGGGGAAAUAUGCCUGGGCGGGCGGGCA